This 459-nucleotide ribosomal RNA is filed under the name uncultured bacterium. Its description in RNAcentral is "partial 16S ribosomal RNA". It matches the Rfam family "Bacterial small subunit ribosomal RNA", at positions 338 to 795 of the family's 1533-position model. The record is from RNAcentral.
CCUACGGGUGGCAGCAGUGAGGAAUAUUGCUCAAUGGCCGAAAGGCUGAACCAGCCAAGUCGCGUGAGGGAUGACGGCCCUACGGGUUGUAAACCUCUUUUGUCGGGGAGCAAAGAGUGUCACGUGUGGCUCAUUGAGAGUACCCUAAGAAAAAGCAUCGGCUAACUCCGUGCCAGCAGCCGCGGUAAUACGGAGGAUGCGAUCGUUAUCCGGAUUUAUUUGGUUUAAAGUGUGCGCAGGAGGAGGUGCAAGUCAGUGCUAAAAUUGCGUGGCUCAACCCCGUACUGCCGUUGAAACUGCAUCCCUUGAGGGCGCGAGAAGUAUGCGGAAUGCGUGGUGUAGCGGUGAACUGCAGAGAUAACACGCAGAACUCCGAUUGCGAAGGCAGCAUACCGGCGCGCAACUGACGCUCAUGCACGAAAGCGUGGGUAUCGAACAGGAUUAGAUACCCGAGUAGUC